AUGGUAUGUAUAGUAACAAGGUGUCAAAUAACUGUUUAUGCUGAAAAUAAAGUACGAAAAUAAAAUAAAAGAAAAAAUAAACUUAAAUAUAAAAACACACUAAAAUAGUAAAAAUAAUAGAAUAAACUAUAGAAAUUCCUAAGCACAAUUAUAGAAAAAUGUGCAUCAAAAUGCACUUAUCAAAUUCCCUCACACUUGAACUUUUGCACUCCGAGCAAAAUUACAUUUUCAAAACAAAAGGA
This 242-nucleotide long non-coding RNA is filed under the name Lathyrus oleraceus (garden pea). RNAcentral's name for it is "Pisum sativum (pea) long non-coding RNA (PSAT_LNC001587)". Lineage: Eukaryota; Viridiplantae; Streptophyta; Magnoliopsida; Fabales; Fabaceae. The record is from RNAcentral.